Molecule: long non-coding RNA, 279 nt
Filed under: Marmota monax (woodchuck)
Lineage: Eukaryota; Metazoa; Chordata; Mammalia; Rodentia; Sciuridae
Source: RNAcentral
CCCAAGCCCUAGUCCCUCCCUGUGGCCUCAGGCUCUGACUUGGAGGCCACCCCAUCACUCAAAUGCCCCAGGCAGCUCCCCAGAGGCACAGGAAAUGCAGAGGUGAGGAGAGGGACAAUAUCCAAACAGAGGCACCCAGGUGCAGAGUCCUGGGUCUGCUGUGGUGUGGACAGAGCGUCUCUGAGCCACGGAGCUGGGAAAAUGUCUGGUCCAGCCGCCUCCUCCUCAGGCUGUCUGUCUGUCCAUCCACCCGUGCAGGAACCCAGAAGCCAGAUGGCU